Molecule: long non-coding RNA, 1774 nt
Organism: Hippocampus comes (tiger tail seahorse)
Lineage: Eukaryota; Metazoa; Chordata; Actinopteri; Syngnathiformes; Syngnathidae
Exons: 2
Source: RefSeq, a predicted model, not a curated record
GACAGCUGGGAUAGGCUCCAGCAAGCCCUUGUGAGGAUAAAGCAGAUCAGAAAAUGGAUGGAUGGAUUAUUUAGUGUGCACCGGUGAGUAUUUGGUGCACACGAGCUGUAGCGUCAGGUGCAAACAUGGUGAGAUCUGGUACAACCGUUUUAGUAUCUGGUCCGCACACGGUCGGUCUCUGAUGACCACGUGUUGACAUUUGGCUCGUACGCGUUAGCAUCUGGUGCACACUAGUUGGUAUGUGGUGGUCACUUAUUAGUGUCAGGUGCCUACACAAUAGCAUCUGGUGUACAUGCUGCUCCAGCCAGUGGGCACAUGUUAGUAUCUCGUGCGCACAAGUGAAUUAACUUCCCGAUCCACCUUGGUAUCUGCGGAACACGUGUUGAAAUUUGGUUCGCAUAUGUCAGUAUCUGGUGUCAACAAAUUAGCGUGAGCCGCAUACAGUACGUAACAGCUUUGGUAUGGAGUGUUCACAAGUCAGUAUCUUGGGAGCGUGCAUGUUCAGUUUUGGCAUGCCAACGUUACUUUGCAUCGUAUCGUUGCAAUUUCAAAGGUGAGCUUGCUAACAGUGGUUGCUAGCUUACGCUCAUGCCGGCUUGGUUUGGUGUUCAUGCAUGUCGUAAUUUCUCACACACACUUUGGACGGUUCGGACCGUGCUGAAUGACCGCGGUUAUACUCGCUCGAUACAGACAAGUGUAGCUGUCAUAGCGCGUAUUAUUUUUGUUUCAGGUGAUUACAAAGCUCUCCAUAGGACUAAAAUGUCAAUGUGUUUGCUUAUGUGACUGUUGUUUAUUGUUUCACAGACACGAUUCCUUAAGUUCAUAACUCGAACGAUGUGACGUCAUUGACAGUGACAUUCAAACUUGAAUGUUAUUUUCUUUGCAAAGGCUCCUUCUUUUGGAUAGCUUUACAUAAUAUGGAAAGAUACCCAGCAUAUUGCAGCAGAUCUGCAGCGGAUUUUAUUUUUUUCCUCUCUUUGCCCCCACUGACUCGUUGCCCUCUCUUUGGCCUCCUACACUGCCUUGUAACUGGACUGGUGCCAGACACCUGCAAAUGGUGCCCGACUCACUGAUCUGCUUCAAAGUGGCACGCGUGACUGUGAAGGUCAGCACGUUCUAACCCAGUGCAGUGCGGGAACCACUGCACUGAUCUUGAUAAAUGCUUAUUGAUUCCUCGCAGUAAGAAAAAGAAAUAGUUUAUGAUUCACUCUGGUGCAGCAGCAAUGGAGGAAAAUUAGAAAUGAGCAUUCGUCUCUUCCUAUGCUCCGUUGCACUGUAAUCCCUCCCCCUUGGGAGAGAGCUAUGCAGUCCGGAUGAGGUUUAUGGGGACUCGAGAUCAGGCUCUUGCCAUUACUCACCACUUCCUUACAUCUCAAGUGCCACCCGGCACACACGGGGCAAUUUCUGUUGGGUGAUGUGAGCUGAGAUGAAAGUGACUCAGUGAACUCACAACAGUGUUAUGUAAUGAUGAGGAGAACUAGCAACGUCGAGAUUACUAAUAAACAUUGGACAUAGGGCCAGUAAUCUGCAGCUCCAUCUGGACCCCUGGAGGGGUUGCAUAACCCACAUCAGCUCGUAAAACCAUCACAAAAGGAAUCAAAAGUUAAUCUGUCUUUUGGGUCAUGCAUGUGCACACACACACCCAGGCGCAUUGUUGGAAAGGCAAUUUGUUCAAUGUUUAUACUAACACAAAGACGUGCAGAUUAUGGGUGUGUGGUAUUUUAUUUUUCCUGCGAAUGAAUAAUUGAUAACAAAACUGUACCGGUAAUCACUU